UAUUAGCUCAACAAGAUGGUCCCAGCUAUGACAAUCAAUAGCAAAUCUUUUACAUGUUUCUGUUUUUGCCCUCAUCGCUAAACAACACCUCCCCUCCCCCCCCCCACACAUUUAAAAAAAAAUUCUAGUUCAGGCUAUGAAUUAACAUUUUCCUUUGCAGCUAUGUCUACUGGAUAGACGUGAGUGAAUGGUACAGCCAUCUCCAAUGUGUGGAACUUAGAGAAGAUAAAUAAAAGUCCGACUUCUGUUUCCUAUCAUAAUCAAUGGCUAAAAGAAUCUGUUAGGAACCAAGGUAAAAAGGAGCAAGAACCUAAGGACAUUGCACAAGAAAACCAUAGGCCAGCAGAGAUCAGGAGCUAUAUUGUGUAGAUUUGAGUGCAUUUUAUCUGCUGAAUUUGCAUUUGUAGAAUAGCACCAAAAUAACAGAAGAGCAUUACAGAAUGACACAAGAACUUCUCAGUAGCCUUUUGCUUGCAGUAAUGCCUCAGAUUGCUGUGAUUUCCCUUCUGGAAGCUAGGGCAGUAACUGGGUUUACACACUUGUUGCCCUACUGACUUCCCAUCACCACUGGUCCUCCCAUCUUCUUCCUCCCUACAUUCAUCCCUUCCCUUAUGUAAAAUGAUGCAGGAAAUCCAUAUAUAUCAUAGUUCUUUUGAAAACACUCAAGGACAGAUACUGUUACACUUACUGGGAAUGUAAGUGGAUUUAGGUGUCUAAAGCCAGGUACAGACAUUACACUUGUAUUGGCAUAAGUGAUCAGAAACCAGUCUAUACUCAGAACAGAAGUUCAGCAGACAGACUAGUUUAAAGAUGGCAGAACCCGGUCUAAGCUUUUCCCUUCCCACCAAAGGGUGAAUGUAUGUUCUGUUCACUACUGAUCUAAAUGAUGUUGCUUAUAGAAAACUGCAUAACUUUUUGAUUCCACCUUGGGCUUUUUGAAUGUUUGUACCUAGCUUAAAUGCUUGUAACUGAUGCAAUGAAACACAGUGACAUAGUAAUGAAGUUUGACACCUAGGGCACAGCCCGCACCAGCAGCCCACCCUUGCUCCACACACAGAUCUGCCCCCCCCCCCCACGCACACACUUGCCCAGGAGUGCACACAGCAGUGGGAACUGCCAUUCUCCUAUCCCUGUGCUGCCCCCUCCCCUCCAAACGAGUUGCUUGCACCUCCGUCUUGUGUCUCGCCCUGGCUGGGCAGCACCUGUUGGUUCCCCUUCAUUUUACCAUCUAGGACGCUUGCCCCAUUCUCCCCCACCCCCCUUGCUAUGGCACUGAUGAGACGCACUGUCUCCCCCUCAAGUCCCUGAAAAACUAUUAAUACAAAAUUUGGGUAGGGCCUCCUAAUCCUCACUGCCUUUUUGUGAUGCUGUCUUAAGGGUAAGAUGAUAGUAUGUUAUAAAAGUAGAUGUAUUAAUGGCUUUUCAGGGUUUUGAACAGGGUGGAGAAAAAUUGCACUGAGGCACCCAAAUCUACUUAGAUGCCCAACAAAUAGAAUCCAAUCCAGGUUUCUGGAUCUUUCUCUUACCCUUGUGCAGUAAGUCUUAUGUGUUCCACAGCAUUGACAUUGUUCUACCCUAGUGAAGGUGAGAGGAUUUGGCCCCUUUCCUUAAAUGGCUAGCAAUAUGUUAGGAAAUAUGAAAAGGGAAUGCUCCUUGGAUUAGUUGUGACAUUUCUAUAUCCUCAGUUUCUUAUCAUUCUGAAAUGGAGAAAAAUGAGUUCCAUGAGGAGGGCCAUCUACAUUUCUUUUGCUGAUACUAUAACAUAUCAACCUUGGACUUCAGGGUAUGUUAUGUUACAUGUUACAGCUUCUUCCUGGAACUUCACACCAAUAUCACAAGUAUAUUAGAAGUAGGGGUGGGGUGUUGUUGCAGCUGUGAUGGUGCAGGAAGUAUAUGAGAAGCAAGGGGUUUUCUGGUAAUAUCUUUUAAAGGACAAGCUGUACAGCUGGUUAAAAAAAAUAUUGGACAUGCUUUUGGUCACUCCUUUAGUAUUUAUAUAUCUCCUGAAGUAUAUUAUACAUGUAAGAGGGGCUUUCUUCCUUUGAAAACUCACAGUACACGGAUAAAGAUGUAGAGGACACGAUUAACUAUUUUUUUACAUUCUAGGCAGGGUUUAUUGUUGGUAUUUGCCUGUGAAAACGCAGAGAUGUAGCAUCUUUGAGAAAUAAUGGUUAUAUUAGCUGUCAUGGGUCAAAUUCUGGUCCCAGUUACAAUUGGUACAAAUUAGGAAAAGUUCCAGUGAAGUCAAUGGCAGUACCCAGGACUUACACCAGUUUCCAGACAGGGCCCUUGGUUCAGAGUUCUUACAGUGUAAAAGAUUUUAGUGUAGGUGAAGUUCAUGAUGGAUAAAAACAACUACUUUUUUUAAGUUGGGAUGGGGGAGGGGGAGCCAGAUGAAGUUCGAACAGUUUCCAAACAUCAUUCAUUGCCAGUAUUUGAUUAGGGGCUUUAAUUUCAUUAGACAAACUGAUUUUUUCAUUAGACAAACUGAUUUUCCCAUACACUCUCUCCUUUUAAUGCGUCAAUUACAUGGAAUUUGACUCUCAUUACAAUAUUGAUAUGAAUGCUGUCUUCAAAUGGACACCAGCACCAAGGCUUUUAUCUGGGUUGGACCAGGUUUAGGAAGAAACAGUGGGAAAGAAAAUGUAAGGUUUCUAAAAACAAGCCAUCACCACACCUGCCCAGCAGAACUUUGCCUGUUCGUCAUGUUGUACUCAGAUCACUCUUGUGCUGCUUUGUGUUUUACCCAAAGGGUGCCUGAAGCCAAAGCAGAUCAACCAGUGAUCUUAUCAGAUUUCACAAGGUAAGUAGUGUCAGGUCUAGUUAGUCUAUGAAUAAGACAACUCUACGGGGAAAACAAUUUCAUUCUGCAGGAGCUGGUGUCGUUACUGAAUUGAUGCUAUAGCAUGGAGAAAGCAGACACUGUUCUACUCAUUGUAUCGCAUCCAUGUAAGAGACCUGGACUAGUUGUGGUCAUUUGAGCUCUGGUCACAAGCAACAACCCUGGUGCAAAUGCUAAUUCCACCAUCUGAAUUUUCCUCACAUCAAUAGGUACCUUAUGCUGUAUUUCAUAUUCUAAAGCUUAGUGUAGUGUGGUGUUAAAUAGAUCUGUAUCUGCUGCUACAUGCCACUCUAGAAGUGGCUGCAUGUCAGUAACAAGUGAAGCGAUUUCUGGCUAUAUCAAGAAAAGAACUUGUUUGUGCACACACAGAAGAUGGCUCACUCAUGAAAACCUGAUCUCAGGUAAGCAAUGUUUAUUCAUAUUAACAGUUCCAUUGACUGAACUGGGACUACUAACAGGACUAAUCAUUAUGCAUGCUUAUCACAGUACGAUUUUGCAUAAUCAAACACAGUUUGAUUGACACUUUGGGAUGGAAAGCGUUAGUACAUUGGAUACCGGUAAAUGCCUUCAGUUCAAAAAGUUGCCUAUUCCUAACUUUAAGCAUGAAAAUAGUUGUGUGUUUAGACAAUUGGUGGGAGUAUUCCCAUCCUGACAAUGAGGUGCAUGCUUGCCUUGCUGAAUCGGAGCUAUUACAAUUUGUUUUUGUUUGACCAGAUUCUUUUUCUUUUAACUUCAGUUGAGUAUCUCUACCCACAUACUUUAUUCUUAUACUUUGCUUCCUCCUUUACUGCCAUGAAAUAGUGUAAAACCCACACUGUAUUUUUUUAUAUAUGGGAAAGCAAAUGAAUGUUGGGUGAAUGAUAAACUUAUGUAAUGACAUGGAGAGGAAGUCAAAAGAGUGCAAAUAUUAUUUUCUCUGUGUUCUUUUUGACCAGCCUAUGCAGCUAAUGGGUUAUUGGGACAGAAAUGAGAGCUCAAGUUUCAAAAUUUCCAUAAUCAGGAAUGGACUCUUUCAUAUACAAGAGCAUUCAUCAUCAGGUAGAAUUCGAGAUGUCAGUGAUCCCCUACAAAACCCAAAUUAGAAUGUAACCCAGUUGUUCUAGCAGUUGGUUGCCGUUACAGUAGCUCACCUUAGUAGUGAGGGUCUUGCUGUUGAUUAUGACGGAAGAAGUCUCCAGGACUCCUGCAAGAGGGUUUUCAUAGGAGAUUGAAAUCUGUGUUCUUCAGCAAUCUACCAAUUAAACGACCUCCAAGGAAUGAAGUAAGGAAUGAGCUUCCCUUUCAUUUGAUCUUUGAUUCUUUCUUGGGUGAUUCCUUUUUCCCCAAAAGGAAAAGAAAUAAAUGAUUAUUUAUGUUUUGAAGGCAGAGCUAUUCUACAAAGACACCCAGUAUUGUAAAUGUAUGAUAUAAUAUGCAGGUUUGGUCAACUUCCAAAAAAACACCUAGUUCAUAAGGCUAUAUGCAGCCUAUAUAAAAAAUAAAACGUGGGUAAACUGAGUCACUCCCUGAUUUUUGUUCUAAUAAAGAUAAUAUGCUAAUGAAAAAUAAAUUACAGAUACAGCUUUUCUUUUGUCCUUUGUUUUCAGUUUCAGGCCAUCUAUCUAGAUCUGUACCUGUAUGUGCUAUUCAGCCAUGUCUCUCUAUUGUGUACACCCCUCUCACUUUAAAUACAUCCCUCAACCUUAAGUUAAUAUUAGGGCUUUAAGAGACCUGAGAAAAAAACCUGAUUUCAUUUGAAGUUCUCUGAAGUACUAUCCUUAUUCCAAGCCAUGCUUUGUGCAUAGGAUUUUUUCUGUACAGGGUUUUAACUUUGUUUUUGUGUGUUAUCAUUAUUUUACCAGCAUGUAUAACGUAUUUCCCACUUUACAACUGUGGUAAAUAUAAAUGCAAAAAUUAUACAUUCAGUUGAAUAUAGAGAAAUAAACUCAAGCAGGUCUUGAA
Long non-coding RNA from Alligator mississippiensis (American alligator), 4783 nucleotides. RefSeq lists it as uncharacterized. The record is from RefSeq and is a predicted model, not a curated record. Lineage: Eukaryota; Metazoa; Chordata; Crocodylia; Alligatoridae. The transcript is spliced from 2 exons.